RNAcentral lists this ribosomal RNA (406 nucleotides) under uncultured bacterium. RNAcentral's name for it is "partial 16S ribosomal RNA". It matches the Rfam family "Bacterial small subunit ribosomal RNA", at positions 30 to 526 of the family's 1533-position model. The record is from RNAcentral.
AUUGAACGCUGGCGGCAGGCCUAACACAUGCAAGUCGAGCGAGCGGCGGACGGGUGAGUAAUGUAUGGGGAUCUGCCUGAUGGCGGGGGAUAACUACUGGAAACGGUAGCUAAUACCGCAUACCAUCAGAUGAACCCAUCUGGGAUUAGCUAGUAGGUGGGGUAACGGCUUACCUAGGCGACGAUCCCUAGCUGGUCUGAGAGGAUGAUCGGCAGCACUGGAACAGGGACACGGGCAAGAGUCCUACGGGAGGCAGCAGUGGGGAAGAUGGCACAAUGGGCGAAAGCCGGAUGCAGCCAUGCCGCGUGUAUGAAGAAGGCCUUCGGGUUGUAAAGUACUUUCAGUCGGGAGGCGUUACCUGCAGAAGAAGCACCGGCUAACUCCGUGCCAGCAGCCGCGGUAAUUC